RNAcentral lists this long non-coding RNA (1252 nucleotides) under Pan paniscus (pygmy chimpanzee). RNAcentral describes it as "lncRNA (ENSPPAG00000044989.1)". Lineage: Eukaryota; Metazoa; Chordata; Mammalia; Primates; Hominidae. The record is from RNAcentral.
GCCUGGCCUUGUUUACAAGAAACCACGGACAAAAAAAGGAGCAUUUAAGGCUGGGCACGGUAGCUCGCGCCUGUAAUCCCAGCACUUUUGGAGGCCGAGGUGGGUGGAUCACCUGAGGUCAGGAGUUUGAGACCAGCCUGAUCAACCAAUGAAACCCUGUCUCUACUAAAAAUACAAAAUUAGUCAGGUGUAGUGGCACACGCCUGUAAUCCCAGUUACUUGGGAGGCUGAGGCAGGAGAAUCACUUGAACCCGGGAGGCGGAGUUUACAAUGAGCCAAGAUCAUGCCAUUGCACUCCAGCCAGGGCUAUAAGGCGAAACUCCGUCUCAAAAAAAAAAAAGGAGCAUUUACAUUUAAACCAAAUGUAUUUGUCCAACAAGGGAAUGGGAUGGGGGUGUGGAGGGGGGAGAGUUUAUCAUGAUAGUGAGUAUUCAGGCAGAGGCUAAGUUUUCACUUGGCUGAAGGCUCUAGAAAGGGUCACAUGGACAGAUGCCUCCUAUCAGUCCUUCUAAGUGUGAACUUCCACGUAAGGUUCCCUUAGUCACCUCUGAGCACUUACUUUGUGUCAAGUUCUCGGUAAGGCUCUGAGGACCCAGAAACAAAUGAGACAAGGUCAUGGUUACUCAACUGAAAUGCUGAAGCAGGAUAGAGAAAGGCUGAGCUCUGGAAACAGGAGGCUGGAGUUUAAUUCCUAGCUCUGUUAUUUCGUAGCUGUGCAUCACUGGAGAUGCCACUUGGCCUCUGGUUCUGUUUCCUCAUUUAUGAACUAGGAACAACAGUUAUCUUCAUAGAUUACAGGAACCCAAUGACAAAAUACACCUGGAGCAUUUGUAGCACAGUGCCUGGUAUGUAGUAAGCAUGUUAUUUUAUUAGUAGUAAUAUUUUUAUGAUGACCUUGGAUAAGUCACUUCAUUUUUCAAAGCCUCAGCUUUCUCAUCCAUAGGAUGGAGUUAACACUGACAUCACGGGGUUGGAAUCUUGCUGUGUCGUGGGGUCGGGAGCUGCCAUUUCGUCUCUCCGCUUCCUCCUGGGAUAAGUGGGUCGCAUCAUGCCCACUUGAUCGCGGACGGAAACCAGCCCCGUUCAGCGCAAAGGAGGAACCUGAAUUAACAAGGACGCGAUUUGCUGGCUGCGCUCCCGGGGGCGCCUAGCACAGGACCCAGCUACGGAGGCAAUAAAAACUUGGUGGAGUCUAAGUCCUGGGAAGGGAAAAAAAGGACGGAGGGGCGGGCCUAAGACAACCCCGCCCAUC